RNAcentral lists this transfer RNA (72 nucleotides) under Bos taurus (domestic cattle). It matches the Rfam family "tRNA". Rfam says of the family: Transfer RNA (tRNA) molecules are approximately 80 nucleotides in length. Their secondary structure includes four short double-helical elements and three loops (D, anti-codon, and T loops). Lineage: Eukaryota; Metazoa; Chordata; Mammalia; Artiodactyla; Bovidae. RNAcentral also lists the same sequence under 4 other names. The record is from Rfam by way of RNAcentral.
UUCCUGGUGGCUCAGACAGUAAAGAAUUUGCCUGCAAUGCAAGAGACCCAGGUUCAAUCCCAGGUUGGGAAG